AUAUUUAAGUUGCUGCAGUUAAAAAGCUCGUAGUUGGAUUUCGGAUGGGUUCCGUCGGUCCGCCGUUUCGGUGUGCACUGACGGCGCCUAUCUUGCUGUCGGGGACGGGCUCCUGGGCUUUACUGUCCGGGACUCGGAGUCGACGAGGUUACUUUGAGUAAAUUAGAGUGUUCAAAGCAGGCCUACGUCUCUGAAUACAUUAGCAUGGAAUAACACGAUAGGACUCUGGCCUAUCUUGUUGGUCUGUAGGACCGGAGUAAUGAUUAAGAGGGACAGUCGGGGGCAUUCGUAUUUCAUUUCA
RNAcentral lists this ribosomal RNA (301 nucleotides) under Ice core clone 48-17. RNAcentral's name for it is "SSU rRNA". It matches the Rfam family "Eukaryotic small subunit ribosomal RNA", at positions 601 to 906 of the family's 1831-position model. The record is from RNAcentral.